Molecule: long non-coding RNA, 767 nt
Filed under: Apteryx owenii (little spotted kiwi)
Lineage: Eukaryota; Metazoa; Chordata; Aves; Apterygiformes; Apterygidae
Description: lncRNA (ENSAOWG00000006679.1)
Source: RNAcentral
AAAGAGUUAAGCAUACUCGGUAUUUCAUUUCAUGCAGACCUGACUGCUGCCAAACAGCUUUAAUCAGACUGCCAGAAUGGUCCCAUAGCUGCAAGAACAUCAGCAUCCUGAGCUAUCUCAUGUUUCCAGCACAAAGUCACCACCAGAGAGAGCACUUCCAGGCCUUUUGGUCAGACAGCGUAAAACUUGGAUUCAAGGACUGAGAUGGACUCCUAGAAAACAUCACUUCUUAAAAAAUCUUGAAUUGCUUCAACUCUUCUGAAUCAACAUCACAGCUCUGAGAAAAGUGAAACCCUGUAAAAAUGGAGAAUCAAAUUAUUUUCUGCAAUACAAACUUUUUUCCAAAAGGAGUUACAAGUGAGAAACCUGAGGACAGAAUUGAACGCCAGUAUGAUUCAUCAAACAUCAUGCAAAUCUAUAUGCUUGAAAUUUCACUGCUCAAGCCUGGGUCCUGAUCCUUUGCUAAGUAAAGGAAUCGCUUCCUGUGAGAGCAGCCCGGCUGAAGCACAGGGGACUUGGCAAACGAGACGGUGAGCGCCCGCACGGGGGGCUGGCUGCCAGGCCCAGGGCUCAUGCCGCAAAGCUGCAGCCGCGGCAGCCCCAUCCCUGGGGGAUACCAGCCCCCAGGGAGCUGCUGGCCCCUGCGGCACCCUGGCAAAGAGUUGGGAGAAUUCAGCCAUUUCCAUUUGUGCGUGAUGAAUUUGAGCCUCGAGUGAUUGUUCUUUCUUUAAAAAUACCUGAUCCCUGAAACAUGGGGUUUGUUGCAG